RNAcentral lists this ribosomal RNA (460 nucleotides) under uncultured bacterium. RNAcentral's name for it is "partial 16S ribosomal RNA". It matches the Rfam family "Bacterial small subunit ribosomal RNA", at positions 338 to 795 of the family's 1533-position model. The record is from RNAcentral.
CCUACGAGUGGCAGCAGUGAGGAAUAUUGGUCAAUGGACGCAAGUCUGAACCAGCCAUGCCGCGUGCAGGAUGACGGCUCUAUGAUUUGUAAACUGCUUUUGUACGAGGGUAAACGCAGAUACGUGUAUCUUUCUUAAAGUAUCUUACGAAUAAGGAUCGGCUCACUCCGUGCCAGCAGCCGCGGUAAUACGGAGGAUUCAAGCGUUAUCCGGAUUUAUUGGGUUUAAAGGGUGCUUAGGCGGUCGGAUAAGUUAGAGGUGAAAUUCCGAGGCUCAACUUCAGAAUUGCCUCUGAUACUGUUGGGCGAGAGAGUAGUUGAGGUAGGCGGAAUGGAUGGUGUAGCGGUGAAAUGCUUAGAGAUCAUACAGAACACCGAUUGCGAAGGCAGCCUACCAAGCUACGUCUGACGUUGAGGCACGAAAGCGUGGGGAGCAAACAGGAUUAGAUACCCCAGUAGUC